RNAcentral lists this ribosomal RNA (205 nucleotides) under uncultured bacterium. Its description in RNAcentral is "partial 16S ribosomal RNA". It matches the Rfam family "Bacterial small subunit ribosomal RNA", at positions 568 to 774 of the family's 1533-position model. The record is from RNAcentral.
UGCGUAGGCGGGUUUCUAAGUCAGAGGUGAAAGCCUGGAGCUCAACUCCAGAACUGCCUUUGAUACUGGAAGUCUUGAGUAUGGCAGAGGUGAGUGGAACUGCGAGUGUAGAGGUGAAAUUCGUAGAUAUUCGCAAGAACACCAGUGGCGAAGGCGGCUCACUGGGCCAUUACUGACGCUGAGGACAAACGUAGGGAGGCAAACA